Molecule: non-coding RNA, 1735 nt
Organism: Schizosaccharomyces pombe (fission yeast)
Lineage: Eukaryota; Fungi; Ascomycota; Schizosaccharomycetes; Schizosaccharomycetales; Schizosaccharomycetaceae
Source: the annotation of a GenBank genome assembly
UUUUAUUAACUUACUACACUUAUUCUCAACGCAAACAUAGCUAAACGACUGCUCAUAUAACAUAUAAACUAUUGUAAUUUGACAUUCAACGUAACUUUCUGUGUCCCUUAACUGCAUAGUCAUACUGAACUGGCCAUGCAACAUUUUCACCCAACUGGUUCGCGCUGUCUAGCACCAACGACGGGUUCCUUAAGAACUCCCUUGCGACAAAAGUAACAUCAGCUUUUCCACUUUCUAGGAUUUCAUUCGCCGUAAGACCAUCCCUGAUCAUUCCGACAGCGCCAAGUAGUAUUCCAUUCACUUGAUCCUUAAUCUUUUCCGCAAAAGGAACUUGAUAGCAAUCCUUCACCUCAAUUCUUUGAUCCUUGUGAUUACCACCAGAGCUAACAUCUAUCAAGUCAACACCACCAUCGCGAAGCCUCGCUGCUAAUGCAACUGUAUCUUCUAUCUCCCAUCCUUGUCCUUUGGGCAACCAAUCUGUAGCCGUUACUCUAUAAAACAAGGGCAUACUAUCUGGAAUUGCUUUACGAACAGAAUGGACAACUUCCAUAGGAAACAAAAUACGUUUCUCAAAUGUCCCACCAUACUUGUCAUUGCGGUCAUUAGUGGCAGGACUAACUGUUGACGAUAUAAGAUAACCAUGAGCGCCAUGAAUUUCAAUUACAUCAAAACCUAUUUCAACUGCACGCUUCGCAGCAACAACAAACUUAUCCACUAAUUCAUCAUAUUGCUUUUCAGUUAACUUAUGAGGUUGAGCGUGGUUUUCGUCCCACCUGUCUUCAUUUGGUCCAUAAACAUCAUUCUCCCACCCACCUUGAGCUUCAGUCGCAACUGUGUAUCCUCGAUAAGGAGCAGUGGUGCUAGCCUUUCUACCAGCAUGCGCCAAUUGAAUCCCAAUUUUUUGAUUUUGCGAAUGAGCAAAUUCAACAAUUCUUCGUAACGGCUUCAUUUGCGACUCCAUCCAUAAUCCUGAAUCAUUAGGUGAAAUUCGUCCCUCUGGGGAAACCGCUGUCGCUUCUACCAUUACAAGGCCAGGCCCACGCAUUCCCAUCGCUCCAAGAUGUACUAGGUGAAAAUCUGUCAAAUGCCCUUCUUGGUCAGCGGAAUAAGUGCACAUCGGCGAAACAAACAUUCUGUUAUGGAACUCCACUCCUCUAAUUUUAAGAGGAGUAAAUAAUUUUGUUUGCGGUACACCUAUCGCCGCUCCAGCUGGUAUUUUUUGCGCAGGUGUAAAAUAACCAACAUUUUCGGCUCCUUCAUUAACAAUAGUCAUUUUUAAAAUUUUUCAAUUCAAAUUAAUAUAUUGGCCAGUCGUUGGGACAUAUUUAUACACAAAGCAUAAUGUUAUUCCUUACUAAGCUAACCGCAAUAUUUCCGUGCAACAAACCAUGAUCAUAUUACAUAAUAUCUUUUCAUCAUUCUAUUCGAUAGCACGGCAACAUUGCAAAUUACAGAAAAUUUAACAAUGAGGUUUCAAAUAGAAAGCUGUCGAAGUAAAAGUAUCAUUUGUUUCUUUAAUCUACCUCAACAAAGAAAAGAACUAUAAUAGGAAACCUGUUAAAGAUUACGAAUGCUUCAAUAUAGCGCUUUUUGAAUUCCAACUAAAAAAUAUUACAAAAAUCAAAUGAUUAACAAGCUGUCAUAAUCAAAAUACUAAUAAUGUUGAAAUAUCCAUUGCUAAGUUAAAUUGCUCAAACAUUACGAGAAUCGAUUUAUUGCAUACAUUAGUAAAUAG